This 689-nucleotide ribosomal RNA is filed under the name uncultured bacterium. RNAcentral describes it as "bacterial SSU rRNA". It matches the Rfam family "Bacterial small subunit ribosomal RNA", at positions 821 to 1502 of the family's 1533-position model. The record is from RNAcentral.
UUUUGGGGGUCUCAACCCCUUCAGAGCCGUAGCUAACGCGUUAAGUAUCCCGCCUGGGGAGUACGAUCGCAAGGUUGAAACUCAAAGGAAUUGACGGGUUCCCGCACAAGCGGUGGAGCAUGUGCUUUAAUUCGAGGCAACGCGAAGAACCUUACCUGGGCUUGACAUGGGAGCUCUCCCUUCGGGGGGGGUCAGCUAUGUGAAAGCAUGGUUAGUCCACACAGGUGUUGCAUGGCUGUCGUCAGCUCGUGUCGUGAGAUGUUCGGUUAAGUCCGGCAACGAGCGCAACCCUCGCUGUCAGUUACCAACGGAUAAUGCCGGGGACUCUGACAGGACUGCCGGUGAUAAACCGGAGGAAGGCGGGGAUGACGUCAAGUCAUUAUGACCCUUACGCCCAGGGCUAGACACGUGCUACAAUGGUCGGUACAAUGAGCAGCGAGACCGCGAGGUGGAGCAAAUCUCAAAAAGCCGGCCCUAGUACGGAUUGCAGUCUGCAACUCGACUGCAUGAAGCUGGAAUCGCUAGUAAUCGCGUAUCAGCAUGACGCGGUGAAUACGUUCCCGGGAAUUGUACACACCGCCCGUCAAACCAUGGGAAUCGGUAGCACUCGAAGUCGCUGACCCAACUUUAUUGAGGGAGGCGCCGAAAGUGAGAUUGGUGACUGGGGUUAAGUCGUAACAAGGUAGCCG